RNAcentral lists this ribosomal RNA (253 nucleotides) under uncultured bacterium. RNAcentral describes it as "partial 16S ribosomal RNA". It matches the Rfam family "Bacterial small subunit ribosomal RNA", at positions 524 to 776 of the family's 1533-position model. The record is from RNAcentral.
UACGUAGGGUGCAGGCGUUAAUCGGAAUUACUGGGCGUAAAGCGUGCGCAGGCGGUUUUGUAAGCCAGAUGUGAAAUCCCCGGGCUCAACCUGGGAACUGCAUUUGUGACUGCAUGGCUAGAGUACGGUAGAGGGGGAUGGAAUUCCGCGUGUAGCAGUGAAAUGCGUAGAUAUGCGGAGGAACACCGAUGGCGAAGGCAAUCCCCUGGACCUGUACUGACGCUCAUGCACGAAAGCGUGGGGAGCAAACAGG